GAUGAACGCUGGCGGCGUGCCUAAUACAUGCAAGUCGAGCGAACAGACGAGGAGCUUGCUCCUCUGACGGUAGCGGCGGACGGGUGAGUAACACGUGGAUAACCUACCUAUAAGACUGGGAUAACUUCGGGAAACCGGAGCUAAUACCGGAUAAUAUAUUGAACCGCAUGGUUCAAUAGUGAAAGACGGUUUUGCUGUCACUUAUAGAUGGAUCCGCGCCGCAUUAGCUAGUUGGUAAGGUAACGGCUUACCAAGGCAACGAUGCGUAGCCGACCUGAGAGGGUGAUCGGCCACACUGGAACUGAGACACGGCCCAGACUCCUACGGGAGGCAGCAGUAGGGAAUCUUCCGCAAUGGGCGAAAGCCUGACGGAGCAACGCCGCGUGAGUGAUGAAGGUCUUCGGAUCGUAAAACUCUGUUAUUAGGGAAGAACAAAUGUGUAAGUAACUAUGCACGUCUUGACGGUACCUAAUCAGAAAGCCACGGCUAACUACGUG
This 497-nucleotide ribosomal RNA is filed under the name uncultured bacterium. RNAcentral describes it as "partial 16S ribosomal RNA". It matches the Rfam family "Bacterial small subunit ribosomal RNA", at positions 28 to 507 of the family's 1533-position model. The record is from RNAcentral.